GUCGGACGCUGGCGGCGCGCCUAACACAUGCAAGUCGAACGGAGCUGAGAGAAGCUUGCUUUUCUUAGCUUAGUGGCGAACGGGUGAGUAACGCGUGAGUAACCUGCCCUGGAGUGGGGGACAACAGUUGGAAACGACUGCUAAUACCGCAUAAGCCCACGAUCCGGCAUCGGAUUGAGGGAAAAGGAUUUAUUCGCUUCAGGAUGGACUCGCGUCCAAUUAGCUAGUUGGUGAGGUAACGGCCCACCAAGGCGACGAUUGGUAGCCGGACUGAGAGGUUGAACGGCCACAUUGGGACUGAGACACGGCCCAGACUCCUACGGGAGGCAGCAGUGGGGGAUAUUGCACAAUGGGGGAAACCCUGAUGCAGCGACGCCGCGUGGAGGAAGAAGGUUUUCGGAUUGUAAACUCCUGUCGUUAGGGACGAUAAUGACGGUACCUAACAAGAAAGCACCGGCUAACUACGUG
This 468-nucleotide ribosomal RNA is filed under the name uncultured bacterium. RNAcentral describes it as "partial 16S ribosomal RNA". It matches the Rfam family "Bacterial small subunit ribosomal RNA", at positions 28 to 507 of the family's 1533-position model. The record is from RNAcentral.